GGGCGAAUGACCGAGUGGUCUAAGGUGCUAGCUUCAGGUGCUAGUGUAGAAAUACGCGUGGGUUCGAACCCCACUUCGCUCA
This 82-nucleotide transfer RNA is filed under the name Rhizoclosmatium globosum. It matches the Rfam family "tRNA". From Rfam's summary of the family: Transfer RNA (tRNA) molecules are approximately 80 nucleotides in length. Lineage: Eukaryota; Fungi; Chytridiomycota; Chytridiomycetes; Chytridiales; Chytriomycetaceae. The record is from Rfam by way of RNAcentral.